GUACCAGCAGCCGCGGUAAUACGAAGGGGGCUAGCGUUGUUCGGAAUUACUGGGCGUAAAGCGCACGUAGGCGGACAUUUAAGUCAGGGGUGAAAUCCCAGGGCUCAACCCUGGAACUGCCUUUGAUACUGGGUGUCUUGAGUACGAGAGAGGUGAGUGGAAUUCCGAGUGUAGAGGUGAAAUUCGUAGAUAUUCGGAAGAACACCAGUGGCGAAGGCGGCUCACUGGCUCGUAACUGACGCUGAGGUGCGAAAGCGUGGGAGCAAACAGGAUUAGAUACCCUGGUAGUCCACGCCGUAAACGAUGAAUGCCAGCCGUUGGUGACUUGUCAUUCAGUGGCGCAGCUAACGCUUUAAGCAUUCCGCCUGGGAGUACGGUCGCAAGA
RNAcentral lists this ribosomal RNA (385 nucleotides) under uncultured Pleomorphomonas sp. Its description in RNAcentral is "bacterial SSU rRNA". It matches the Rfam family "Bacterial small subunit ribosomal RNA", at positions 505 to 893 of the family's 1533-position model. The record is from RNAcentral. Lineage: Bacteria; Pseudomonadati; Pseudomonadota; Alphaproteobacteria; Hyphomicrobiales; Pleomorphomonadaceae.